This 574-nucleotide ribosomal RNA is filed under the name uncultured bacterium. RNAcentral's name for it is "partial 16S ribosomal RNA". It matches the Rfam family "Bacterial small subunit ribosomal RNA", at positions 355 to 923 of the family's 1533-position model. The record is from RNAcentral.
UGGGGAAUUUUGGACAAUGGGCGAAAGCCUGAUCCAGCAAUGCCGCGUGUGUGAAGAAGGCCUUCGGGUUGUAAAGCACUUUUGUCCGGAAAGAAAUCCUUGGCUCUAAUACAGUCGGGGGAUGACGGUACCGGAAGAAUAAGCACCGGCUAACUACGUGCCAGCAGCCGCGGUAAUACGUAGGGUGCAAGCGUUAAUCGGAAUUACUGGGCGUAAAGCGUGCGCAGGCGGUUUGCUAAGACCGAUGUGAAAUCCCCGGGCUCAACCUGGGAACUGCAUUGGUGACUGGCAGGCUAGAGUAUGGCAGAGGGGGGUAGAAUUCCACGUGUAGCAGUGAAAUGCGUAGAGAUGUGGAGGAAUACCGAUGGCGAAGGCAGCCCCCUGGGCCAAUACUGACGCUCAUGCACGAAAGCGUGGGGAGCAAACAGGAUUAGAUACCCUGGUAGUCCACGCCCUAAACGAUGUCAACUAGUUGUUGGGGAUUCAUUCCUUAGUAACGUAGCUAACGCGUGAAGUUGACCGCCUGGGGAGUACGGUCGCAAGAUUAAAACUCAAAUGAAUUGACGGGGUCAUA